Molecule: ribosomal RNA, 429 nt
Filed under: bacterium
Lineage: Bacteria
Description: partial 16S ribosomal RNA
Rfam family: Bacterial small subunit ribosomal RNA
Source: RNAcentral
UAGGGAAUCUUCGGCAAUGGGGGCAACCCUGACCGAGCAACGCCGCGUGAGUGAAGAAGGUUUUCGGAUCGUAAAGCUCUGUUGUAAGAGAAGAACGUGUGUGAGAGUGGAAAGUUCACACAGUGACGGUAACUUACCAGAAAGGGACGGCUAACUACGUGCCUGCAGCCGUGGUAAUACGUAGGUCCCGAGCGUUGUCCGGAUUUAUUGGGCGUAAAGCGAGCGCAGGCGGUUUAAUAAGUCUGAAGUUAAAGGCAGUGGCUUAACCAUUGUUCGCUUUGGAAACUGUUAAACUUGAGUGCAGAAGGGGAGAGUGGAAUUCCAUGUGUAGCGGUGAAAUGCGUAGAUAUAUGGAGGAACACCGGUGGCGAAAGCGGCUCUCUGGUCUGUAACUGACGCUGAGGCUCGAAAGCGUGGGGAGCAAACAGG